This 31-nucleotide non-coding RNA is filed under the name Rattus norvegicus (Norway rat). The record is from RNAcentral. Lineage: Eukaryota; Metazoa; Chordata; Mammalia; Rodentia; Muridae.
UACCAUUACUCCACUUAUCUUAAUGCUGAUU